This 441-nucleotide ribosomal RNA is filed under the name uncultured Methylibium sp. RNAcentral's name for it is "bacterial SSU rRNA". It matches the Rfam family "Bacterial small subunit ribosomal RNA", at positions 936 to 1382 of the family's 1533-position model. The record is from RNAcentral. Lineage: Bacteria; Pseudomonadati; Pseudomonadota; Betaproteobacteria; Burkholderiales; Sphaerotilaceae.
AUGAUGUGGUUUAAUUCGAUGCAACGCGAAAACCUUACCUACCCUUGACAUGUCUAGAAGUCUCCAGAGAUGGAUUCGUGCUCGAAAGAGAGCUAGAACACAGGUGCUGCAUGGCCGUCGUCAGCUCGUGUCGUGAGAUGUUGGGUUAAGUCCCGCAACGAGCGCAACCCUUAUCAUUAGUUGCUACGCAAGGGCACUCUAAUGAGACUGCCGGUGACAAACCGGAGGAAGGCGGGGAUGACGUCAAGUCCUCAUGGCCCUUACAUCCCGGGCUACACACGUGCUACAAUGGCAGGUACAGAGGGCUGCGAAGCCGCGAGGUGGAGCGAAUCCCAGAAAACCUGUCUCAGUCCGGAUUGAAGUCUGCAACUCGACUUCAUGAAGGCGGAAUCGCUAGUAACCGCGAAUCAGCAGGUCGCGGUGAAUACGUUCCCGGGCCUU